Long non-coding RNA from Helianthus annuus (common sunflower), 476 nucleotides. RefSeq lists it as uncharacterized. NCBI's taxonomy places the organism in Eukaryota, Viridiplantae, Streptophyta, Magnoliopsida, Asterales, Asteraceae. The transcript is spliced from 3 exons. The record is from RefSeq and is a predicted model, not a curated record.
AUCGGUUUCCAGCCAUGAUGCCCUCCCCACUUUCUCCACCUCCCACAAUUUCAGCACCAAUAACCACAGUUUACCCCUCAAUUCUAGCAGCUUUCUGCUUUUAAAGUAUUUAAACCCUCUUUCCACCCACAUGCAAUGAUGUCAAAACCUUUCAAAGUCAAUCGUCGCCUGAGUAGGUUCGAAUGUCGGAUAGAGUAAUUUCGAUGUGAUACAUUUCUCCAGCGGCGAUAAAGGAUAUGUAGAGUCUCAGGUGAUGUCGUGGUCGUCAGUUACAGUGUCGCUGAUACAGAACCGAGCUACAACCAUCGGAGAUUUCUGACCCGCUGAGGCACACUUCCCUUAACCAUUGUUCCGGUUGUUCAAGUUUUUCUUCUCCAACCGUCUACUCGACAAUCCAGGGAUGGAGACUUCUCUUCUCUGGCGCCAAAGAUAAUGUUAUGACAAUGAACAAUGGCAGACGAUUGGGCACAUACCCG